Molecule: ribosomal RNA, 506 nt
Filed under: uncultured bacterium
Lineage: Bacteria
Description: partial 16S ribosomal RNA
Rfam family: Bacterial small subunit ribosomal RNA
Source: RNAcentral
GAUGAACGCUAGCGGCAGGCCUAACACAUGCAAGUCGAGGGGUAACUAGAGUGAUAGCAAUAUUACUUUGGCUAGACCGGCGCACGGGUGCGUAACACGUAUGCAACCUACCUUAUACUGGGGAAUAACUUCGAGAAAUCGGCGCUAAUACCCCAUAACAUUGCGAAGAGGCAUCACUUUGCAAUUAAAGCUCCGGCGGUAUAAGAUGGGGAUGCGUCCAAUUAGCUAGUUGGUGAGGUAACGGCUCACCAAGGCUACGAUUGGUAGGGGUUCUGAGAGGAUGAUCCCCCACACUGGUACUGAGACACGGACCAGACUCCUACGGGAGGCAGCAGUGAGGAAUAUUGCGCAAUGGACGAAAGUCUGACGCAGCCAUGCCGCGUGCAGGAUGACGGCCCUAUGGGUUGUAAACUGCUUUUGUACGGGAAUAAACCCUUCUACGUGUAGGAGGCUGAAGGUACCGUAAGAAUAAGCACCGGCUAACUCCGUGCCAGCAGCCGCCGUAA